UAUAUUUUAGUAUUAUUAGUUUAUGGAUAUUAGUCAUGUACAUGUCACUGCACUCUCUUGUCUACACUUCUCAUCUCUGUUCUCAUGUAUUCAUGCCCAGUUUCAUUUGUAUCACUGUCUCCCUCUGGUCACUGCACUCUCUUGUCCUGCACCUGCACUUCCUCAUCUUUGUUGGCCACACCCCACUCUGUCAUCUUUUCC
Thalassophryne amazonica is the source of this 201-nucleotide long non-coding RNA. RefSeq lists it as uncharacterized. The record is from RefSeq and is a predicted model, not a curated record. NCBI's taxonomy places the organism in Eukaryota, Metazoa, Chordata, Actinopteri, Batrachoidiformes, Batrachoididae. The transcript is spliced from 3 exons.